CUACGUGCCAGCAGCCGCGGUAAUACGUAGGUCCCGAGCGUUGUCCGGAUUUAUUGGGCGUAAAGCGAGCGCAGGCGGUUUGAUAAGUCUGAAGUUAAAGGCUGUGGCUCAACCAUAGUUCGCUUUGGAAACUGUCAAACUUGAGUGCAGAAGGGGAGAGUGGAAUUCCAUGUGUAGCGGUGAAAUGCGUAGAUAUAUGGAGGAACACCGGUGGCGAAAGCGGCUCUCUGGUCUGUAACUGACGCUGAGGCUCGAAAGCGUGGGGAGCGAACAGGAUUAGAUACCCUGGUAGUCCACGCCGUAAACGAUGAGUGCUAGGUGUUGGAUCCUUUCCGGGAUUCAGUGCCGCAGCUAACGCAUUAAGCACUCCGCCUGGGGAGUACGACCGCAAGGUUGAAACUCAAAGGAAUUGACGGGGGCCUGCACAAGCGGUGGAGCAUGUGGUUUAAUUCGAAGCAACGCGAAGAACCUUACCAGGUCUUGACAUCCCGAUGCUAUUUCUAGAGAUAGAAAGUUA
RNAcentral lists this ribosomal RNA (517 nucleotides) under uncultured bacterium. RNAcentral describes it as "bacterial SSU rRNA". It matches the Rfam family "Bacterial small subunit ribosomal RNA", at positions 501 to 1016 of the family's 1533-position model. The record is from RNAcentral.